RNAcentral lists this transfer RNA (74 nucleotides) under Pteridomonas sp. YPF1301. RNAcentral describes it as "tRNA-Cys". It matches the Rfam family "tRNA". From Rfam's summary of the family: Transfer RNA (tRNA) molecules are approximately 80 nucleotides in length. Their secondary structure includes four short double-helical elements and three loops (D, anti-codon, and T loops). The record is from RNAcentral. Lineage: Eukaryota; Dictyochophyceae; Pedinellales.
GGUGAUAUCGCCAAAUGGGUUAAGGCAAAGGUUUGCAAAUCCUUUAAUUCUCAGUUCAAAUCUGAGUAUCUCCU